AUUGAACGCUGGCGGCAGGCCUAACACAUGCAAGUCGAGCGCGAAAUUUCCUUCGGGAAUGAGUAGAGCGGCGGACGGGUGAGGAACGCGUAGGAAUCUACCCAGUAGUGGGGGACAACAAUCGGAAACGGUUGCUAAUACCGCAUAAGCCCUAAGGGGGAAAGCAGGGGAUCUUCGGACCUUGCGCUAUUGGAUGAGCCUGCGUCGG
Molecule: ribosomal RNA, 208 nt
Filed under: uncultured bacterium
Lineage: Bacteria
Description: partial 16S ribosomal RNA
Rfam family: Bacterial small subunit ribosomal RNA
Source: RNAcentral